Aphis gossypii (cotton aphid) is the source of this 729-nucleotide long non-coding RNA. RefSeq lists it as uncharacterized. The transcript is spliced from 5 exons. The record is from RefSeq and is a predicted model, not a curated record. Lineage: Eukaryota; Metazoa; Arthropoda; Insecta; Hemiptera; Aphididae.
AUCACAGUAUUCAUCUGAAAUAAUUGAUGCAAUUGGCGUAUGAAUCAGAAUAAAAUGAAAAUAAGAGAUGAUAGUAUUACCUCGUUCUUAACAUGCUCAUAUGAUUAUUUUAAAAAUAAAAAACCUAAAAAUAAAUCAAAGUUUUGUAUCACAGUAUUCAUCUGAAAUAAUUGAUGCAAUUGGCGUAUGAAUCAGAAUAAAAUGAAAAUAAGAGAUGAUAGUAUUACCUCGUUCUUAACAUGCUCAUAUGAUUAUUUUAAAAAUAAAAAACCUAAAAAUAAAUCAAAGUUUUGUAUCACAGUAUUCAUCUGAAAUAAUUGAUGCAAUUUUCGUAUGAAUCAGAAUAAAAUGAAAAUAAGAGAUGAUAGUAUUACCUCGUUCUUAACAUGCUCAUAUGAUUAUUUUAAAAAUAAAAAACCUAAAAAUAAAUCAAAGUUUUGUAUCACAGUAUUCAUCUGAAAUAAUUGAUGCAAUUGGCGUAUGGAUCAGAAUAAAAUGAAAAUAUGAGAUGAUAGUAUUACCUCGUUCUUAACAUGCUCAUAUGAUUAUUUUAAAAAUAAAAAACCUAAAAAUAAAUCAAAGUUUUGUAUCACAGUAUUCAUCUGAAAUAAUUGAUGCAAUUGGCGUAUGAAUCAGAAUAAAAUGAAAAUAAGAGAUGAUAGUAUUACCUCGUUCUUAACAUGCUCAUAUGAUUAUUUUAAAAAUAAAAAACCUAAAAAUAAAUCAAAG